Molecule: long non-coding RNA, 1493 nt
Organism: Callithrix jacchus (white-tufted-ear marmoset)
Lineage: Eukaryota; Metazoa; Chordata; Mammalia; Primates; Cebidae
Source: RefSeq, a predicted model, not a curated record
GCACUUGGAACUUGGCAGAGGCUGAUGUGGACCAAAAGGGGUGUGGGGGUGCUGGAGGGAGGUGGGUACAAGGCACAGGUAACCCUGACCUGGAGGAAGGAGCAGCAGUGGCCGUGAACCUGCGGGUCCACCAAGAAGAAUCGGGACCUGCCUGUGUCAUGGGCAGAGGAACUGACUGGCUUCACAAACUCCUGGACAACAGAUGGUGACCCAUGGUUUUGGGGCAGUCUCUCCCUCAGAACACCCUCUUCGAACCUGAUGGGCCUGGCUUCCUCUGGGCACCGAAUAAACACCUAAUGGGCUGAGCUUGGUGGGCUUGGCAGGUGCAUAACUCAAUGCUUUGCAGAUGGUACCCACGAGAAGUUGAACCUUCAUCUCACAGGCCGAUGGCUUUAAGGCCCCAGCUGUUCUUCAUCCAGCCAACAAGGAGUUUAAAGCACCUACUACGUGCCAGGCACCACACUAGGGCGUCGCACGGGGCAGAUGGGCUGCGCUGUCCAGCAGGUUUGCUGCCUUGUGUGUGCCUUCCAGUGGGCCUGGAAUCAAAUCAAGAGAACCUCCCAGCUUUGGCCUCUGCCCCCUGAGAGCUUGCACUCACACACGUAGGCCCUGAGAGGAAAAGGGAGCUUCCCUGAGUCACACAGUGAGAGCACGGCAGAACCAGGACAAGGGCCUGGUUCUCCUGAUCCUCUCCAAGGUGACACCCCCGUACCUCCCUGAAAACAUCAGGCCUGGUUGGGCGGCCAGGAGGAGGGUGAGUGAGUGAUCAGCCAUAUAACUGCCUCCCCCUGGCUCUCUCUCAUCCAGUACAAGUUGCUAAACCUCUCUGUGCCUCUCAGCCACCUCAAGGAUGAGAGAAUUCAUUGUAGUCAUGCCAGACAGCUUUUAUCCAAUGUUUAAUUUUGCAAGUGCUGGUACAGGUUUAUUUAAACAUGUUAUUAAACACAUAGAAGCACUAUGAAGCGGAGGGUUUUCUGAUCAUUCUCGUUUUCCAGAAGAGGAAACUGAGGCACAGAGAGAGAGCAAGGAACACGGUGGUAAGGAACACACUGGGACCUGGGCCCAGGCAGGAUGGGGGUGGGGCUGCCUCUGUACCAGAGGCCAUACAGUCAUCGGAGUGUGCAAGGUCUGAGUUUGAGUUCAUGGUUAAGUAUUUAGCAGUUGUUACCUCAGACAAUAACACAGUGAUGUCCUACAUUACAUAAUGAAAGUAGGAAUGUACUCUGUGGAAGAGAUCCAAGUACUAGGUGGGGCAGUGAGGCUGGGGGGAGGAAGGGGAGAGGUGGUCUCCAGGGCCCGAGAUAUGCUGGAAUAGGAAGGCGCUCUGAAGACCUCUGAAAGGCAUCACAACCUGCUGAGGUUCUUAGCACACAAGCUGGCGCAAAGAGCCAUCUGGUCUACCACCUGCCUGGUGGUCAGCACCCUGGACAGCUCCAGGCUGGUUUCCCAGACGCUCUUGAGGGCAAAAAAAAAAAAAAAAAAAAAAAAAAAAA